RNAcentral lists this ribosomal RNA (922 nucleotides) under uncultured Meliniomyces. Its description in RNAcentral is "eukaryotic LSU rRNA". The stretch from base 445 to 922 matches the Rfam family "Eukaryotic large subunit ribosomal RNA", at positions 1 to 475 of the family's 3401-position model. Lineage: Eukaryota; Fungi; Ascomycota; Leotiomycetes; Helotiales; Helotiaceae. The record is from RNAcentral.
GGGUUCUAUUCCCAAACCGUGUAUACAUUCCUUUGUUGCUUUGGCAGGCCGCCUUUUAGGCGUUGGCUCCGGCUGACUGCGCCUGCCAGAGGACCCAAACUCUUUUGUUUAGUGAUGUCUGAGUACUAUAUAAUAGUUAAAACUUUCAACAACGGAUCUCUUGGUUCUGGCAUCGAUGAAGAACGCAGCGAAAUGCGAUAAGUAAUGUGAAUUGCAGAAUUCAGUGAAUCAUCGAAUCUUUGAACGCACAUUGCGCCCCUUGGUAUUCCGAGGGGCAUGCCUGUUCGAGCGUCAUUAUAACCACUCAAGCCCUCGGCUUGGUCUUGGGGUUCGCGGUUUCGCGGCCCUUAAAAUCAGUGGCGGUGCCGUCUGGCUCUAAGCGUAGUAAUCCUCUCGCUAUAGGGUCCAGGUAACCACCUGUCAGAACCCCCCAUUCUUUAUGGUUGACCUCGGAUCAGGUAGGGAUACCCGCUGAACUUAAGCAUAUCAAUAAGCGGAGGAAAAGAAACCAACAGGGAUUGCCUCAGUAACGGCGAGUGAAGCGGCAACAGCUCAAAUUUGAAAUCUGGCUCUUUCAGGGUCCGAGUUGUAAUUUGUAGAAGAUGCUUUGGGUGUGGCUCCGGUCUAAGUUCCUUGGAACAGGACGUCAUAGAGGGUGAGAAUCCCGUACGUGACUGGGUGCCUUCGCUCAUGUAAAGCUCUUUCGACGAGUCGAGUUGUUUGGGAAUGCAGCUCAAAAUGGGUGGUAAAUUUCAUCUAAAGCUAAAUAUUGGCCAGAGACCGAUAGCGCACAAGUAGAGUGAUCGAAAGAUGAAAAGCACUUUGGAAAGAGAGUUAAACAGUACGUGAAAUUGUUGAAAGGGAAGCGCUUGCAACCAGACUUGCGCGCUGUUGAUCAUCCGAGCUUUUGCCCGGUGCACUC